GUGAGGAAUAUUGGUCAAUGGGCGGAAGCCUGAACCAGCCAUCCCGCGUGCAGGAAGAAUGCGCUAUGCGUUGUAAACUGCUUUUCCAGGGGGCGAACGUUCCGUACGUGUACGGGAGUGACGGUACCUUGGGAAUAAGCAUCGGCUAACUCCGUGCCAGCAGCCGCGGUAAUACGGAGGAUGCGAGCGUUAUCCGGAUUUAUUGGGUUUAAAGGGUGCGUAGGCGGAUUAAUAAGUCAGUGGUGAAAACCUGCAGCUUAACUGUGGAACUGCCGUUGAUACUGUUAGUCUUGAGUAUGGUCAAGGUAGGCGGAAUGUGUAAUGUAGCGGUGAAAUGCUUAGAUAUUACACAGAACACCGAUUGCGAAGGCAGCUUACUGGGCCAUAACUGACGCUGAUGCACGAAAGCGUGGGGAUCGAACAGGAUUAGAAACCCGAGUAGUCC
RNAcentral lists this ribosomal RNA (445 nucleotides) under uncultured bacterium. RNAcentral's name for it is "bacterial SSU rRNA". It matches the Rfam family "Bacterial small subunit ribosomal RNA", at positions 354 to 796 of the family's 1533-position model. The record is from RNAcentral.